UUCAAUAAAUUAAAAUUUAGAUAAAAAUUGUAUUUUUUCUGUUUGUUUGUAUAGCUGUAAAAUUAUUCUUUAUUAUUUAUUUCACACGAAGGUUUAGUUUGGUAUUGAAGUCUAUCUAACGUUAUUAAAUAAAAUGGAGUUGAGAAAAAAACAUAUAAGGAUAUGCUUCUGUGUUCUCCGGUGGGAUUACAGAAAAUAUAUCGUAAUCGACGUAUCGCGAUAUACGGAACGCAAUAUCAUAUACGGAAGCAAACAUGGUAUUUUUUCAUCGUCGUUUCUCACCGCACGUACAAUCUCUCCGUAGUCCCAAACAAAGUUGAAGUGAAUAAAGUAAAAACUGAAAAUACAAUAAAUUAAUAGUUAAAUAAUAAUCUUUUAUAAUUUAUUUUAUGUUAUUUUGAAAAAUUUAUAUUUCAAUCAAAAAUAAAAUUAUAAUAAAAUAAACAACAAAAUUUUAUAUUUUUGGAGGUUAAUUACUCCACCCAUCUCUACAGUAAAAUAAAUGUAUUUUUAAUUUCUUUCUAAAAGAUAGAUAGCAUACUAUCCGUUUUAUUUAUUUUUUUAAAAAAUAAAUUUAACUGAAAUAUAAAUCAGUUUAAAUUCGAAUUUAGAACCUCGAAUAUCAAUCAUCAAAUUUGGGCUUUCGGAAAUAAAUG
This 656-nucleotide long non-coding RNA is filed under the name Ananas comosus (pineapple). RNAcentral's name for it is "long non-coding RNA (ACOM_LNC006256)". Lineage: Eukaryota; Viridiplantae; Streptophyta; Magnoliopsida; Poales; Bromeliaceae. The record is from RNAcentral.